GGCAACAAGGCCUUGCAAAUAACCAUUUACCCUGAGUGGAUCUACAGCGAGAUAUUGAACAACACAGCGCAGGGGUGGAGUCCGUGUUUAACAUCUGUGACGUCCUGCUGCACGACUCCGAUGCCUGUGCAAAUGAGACCGAGUGUGACUCGAUCCAGCAGACCACCAGGAGCCUGGACAGACGCUGGAGGAACAUUUGUGCCAUGUCCAUGGAGCGGCGCAUGAAAAUCGAGGAGACGUGGCGCCUGUGGCAGAAGUUUUUAGACGACUAUUCUCGCUUUGAGGACUGGCUCAAGUCAGCUGAGAGGACGGCGGCCUGCCCAAAUUCCUCAGAGGUGUUGUACACGAGUGCCAAAGAGGAACUGAAGAGGUUUGAGGCCUUUCAGCGGCAGAUUCACGAGCGGCUCACUCAGCUGGAGCUCAUCAACAAGCAGUACCGGCGGCUGGCCCGGGAGAACCGCACAGACACGGCCAGCAGGCUGAAGCAGAUGGUCCACGAGGGCAACCAGCGCUGGGACAACCUUCAGAGGCGGGUCACAGCCGUCCUGCGGAGACUCAGGCAUUUCACCAACCAGAGGGAAGAAUUUGAGGGCACCAGGGAGAGCAUUCUGGUGUGGCUCACAGAGAUGGACCUGCAGCUGACCAACGUGGAGCACUUCUCAGAGAGUGACGCCGAUGACAAGAUGCGCCAACUGAAUGGCUUCCAACAGGAAAUUACAUUAAAUACCAACAAGAUUGAUCAGCUCAUUGUGUUUGGGGAGCAGCUGAUUCAGAAGAGCGAGCCCCUGGAUGCUGUGCUGAUUGAGGAUGAGCUGGAGGAACUCCACCGCUACUGCCAGGAGGUGUUUGGAAGGGUCUCCCGGUUCCACCGGCGGCUCACCUCCUGCACUCCGGGCUUGGAAGAUGAAAAGGAGGCCUCUGAGAAUGAAACAGACAUGGAAGACCCCAGAGAAAUCCAGACUGAUUCCUGGCGUAAACGGGGAGAGAGCGAGGAACCGUCAUCUCCUCAGUCCCUGUGUCAUCUAGUGGCCCCGGGGCACGAGCGGUCUGGCUGCGAGACCCCUGUCAGCGUGGACUCCAUCCCCCUGGAGUGGGACCACACAGGCGACGUGGGGGGCUCCUCCUCUCACGAAGAGGACGAGGAGGGCCCAUACUACAGCGCACUGUCAGGUAAAUCCAUUUCGGAUGGCCACUCGUGGCAUGUUCCCGACAGCCCUUCCUGUCCCGAGCAUCACUACAAGCAAAUGGAAGGUGACAGGAAUGUUCCACCUGUUCCCCCUGCGUCCAGCACCCCUUAUAAACCACCCUAUGGAAAGCUACUAUUACCUCCAGGCACGGAUGGUGGCAAAGAAGGCCCGCGAGUCCUGAAUGGCAGCCCACAGCAGGAAGACGGGGGACUGGCCGGUAUCACAGAGCAGCAGUCAGGUGCCUUCGACAGAUGGGAGAUGAUUCAAGCACAGGAGCUUCACAAUAAGCUCAAAAUAAAACAAAAUUUGCAACAGCUGAACUCUGAUAUCAGUGCCAUCACUACUUGGCUGAAAAAAACUGAAGCAGAGCUGGAAAUGUUAAAGAUGGCAAAGCCUCCCUCUGAUAUCCAGGAAAUAGAACUGAGAGUGAAGAGACUGCAGGAGAUACUGAAAGCCUUUGACACUUACAAGGCAUUAGUGGUCUCUGUCAACGUGAGCAGCAAGGAAUUUCUGCAAACCGAGAGCCCCGAAUCCACAGAGCUCCAAAGUAGACUCCGCCAGCUGAGCCUGCUCUGGGAAGCAGCACAGGGCGCAGUGGACAGCUGGAGAGGGGGCUUACGACAGUCGCUCAUGCAGUGCCAGGACUUCCACCAGUUGAGUCAAAAUCUGCUGCUGUGGUUAGCGAGUGCCGAGAACCGGAGGCAGAAGGCUCAUGUCACCGAUCCAAAGGCAGACCCCCGGGCUCUCCUAGAGUGUCAGAGGGAACUAAUGCAACUGGAAAAGGAGCUGGUAGAACGUCAACCUCAAGUGGACAUGUUACAGGAGAUUUCAAACAGCCUUCUCAUUAAGGGAUAUGGAGAAGACUAUAUUGAAGCUGAAGAAAAGGUGCAUGUUAUUGAGAAGAAACUCAAACAGUUACGGGAGCAAGUGUCCCAAGAUUUAAUGGCCUUGCAGGGAACCCAGAACCCAGCCCCACCCCUGCCCAGCUUCGACGAGGUAGACUCGGGGGACCAGCCUCCUGCAACAUCCGUGCCAGCUCCCCGAGCAAAGCAGUUCAGAGCAGUGAGAACUACAGAAGGCGAGGAGGAGACAGAGAGCAGGGUCCCCGGCAGCACACGGCCACAGCGCUCCUUCCUCUCAAGGGUGAUCCGGGCAGCCCUACCCCUGCAGCUGCUCCUCCUGCUGCUGCUGCUCCUGGCCUGCCUGCUGCCCUCCUCCGAAGAAGACUACAGCUGCACUCAGGCCAACAACUUUGCCCGGUCCUUUUACCCCAUGCUGAGGUACACCAAUGGGCCACCCCCCACAUAGAGGGCAUAGCUGGCCACAGUGCUACACCACCUGCCUGAUUGCCAAGGGUGCCCAGCACGUGGCCCCAGACCAAUCUGAGUGACUUAGUGUUGGCAAGGUCCCGGGACCUGUGCAGACUUCUUCUGGGCUUACCCAGCACGGGCUCCCUGGAGCCCAGGGCAGCUUUCAAAUUGUGUUCCUCCCCAGGAGCAGGGAACCUGUGCGGCAGGUGCCCCGGGUAUUUUGGCAGAACUAGUUGAUUCGUUUAGGGAUCUCUGGAAAUGUCAGUUUCCUGAAGAGCCAAGCACUUUGUGAAUUCUGGUUUAUUUGUAAAACAGCAUUAUUAUAAUGUAGGUAUGGUCAAUGAGCAGUGGUGUCCAUCACAUAUAUUAUAGAAGCAAGCGAGCACAUUCCACCCUAGAAAUGGUUCAGAAACUCAUAGGCACCCUUAGCUGAUGGAAACAAUCAUAUUUAAUAUGCUUAGAAUCAGUUUUACUCCAAUCAGCUGGCAAUUUUGAGCUACCGGUUAUACACCAAAAUGUUCUGUUCAGUACCUAGCUCUGCUCUUUUAUAUUGCUUUAAAUUUUUAAAGAAAUUAUAUUGCAUGGAUGUGGUUAUUUGUGCAUAUUUUUUAACAAUGCCCAAUCUGUAUGAAUAAUGUAAACUUCGAUUUUUUUUUAAAAAAAUUAGAUUUUAGCUGGAGCUUUUGACUAAUGUACAGUAAAUGCCAAACUACCGACUUGAUAGGGAUGUUUUUGUAAGUUAAUUUUCUAAGACUUUUUCACAUCCAAAGUGAUGCUUUGGGUUUUAACUGUUUGGCCACGGCGGGGGUGGGGGGCGGGGGUUGGUACAGAAACUUGAAGCUGUUUGUGAUAUGUACAACUCAGAUGUUUCUCAUUAAAAAACAAAAUUAGCC
This 3390-nucleotide small RNA is filed under the name Pan troglodytes (chimpanzee). Its description in RNAcentral is "processed transcript". The record is from RNAcentral. Lineage: Eukaryota; Metazoa; Chordata; Mammalia; Primates; Hominidae.